Long non-coding RNA from Mustela erminea (ermine), 229 nucleotides. RefSeq lists it as uncharacterized. The record is from RefSeq and is a predicted model, not a curated record. The transcript has 3 exons. Lineage: Eukaryota; Metazoa; Chordata; Mammalia; Carnivora; Mustelidae.
AGUCUCAUUCAUUUUCAUACUACCUCUUCCCCAUCCAAGCUAGAAAACAACCUGAAUAUAAAUACAGCACUGUGAGUACAAAGGAGACGCUUCAUUUAAAAACGGCUGUGGGGGAACAAUGGAUGGAAAGUUGGGUGUGACACCAAGUACAUAUUCUUCUACCUAACUUACUCUAGAGUAAGAAGCAGAGGGCUCCAAGGACAGAACUGCAAGAUGUGUUGAGAAAAAG